RNAcentral lists this ribosomal RNA (460 nucleotides) under uncultured bacterium. Its description in RNAcentral is "partial 16S ribosomal RNA". It matches the Rfam family "Bacterial small subunit ribosomal RNA", at positions 338 to 795 of the family's 1533-position model. The record is from RNAcentral.
CCUACGGUGGGCUGCAGUGAGGAAUAUUGGUCAAUGGGCGUAACCCUGAACCAGCCAAGUCGCGUGAGGGAUGACGGUCCUAUGGAUCGUAAACCUCUUUUAUAAGGGAAUAAACUGCGUGACGUGUCCCGUAUUGUAGGUACCUCAUGAAUAAGGACCGGCUAAUUCCGUGCCAGCAGCAGCGGUAAUACGGAGGUUCCGAGCGUUAUCCGGAUUUAUUGGGUUUAAAGGGUGCGAAGGCCGCCUCUUAAGUGAGCGGUGAAAGUCUGUGGCUCAACCGUGGCAAUGCAGUUGAAACUGGGAGGCUUGAGUGUGUAUGAGGCAGGCGGAAUGCGUGGUGUAGCGGUGAAAUGCUUAGAUAUCACGAAGAACCCCGAUUGCGAAGGCAGCCUGCCAUGGCGUGACUGACGCUGAUGCACGAAGGCGUGGGGAUCGAACAGGAUUAGAUACCCUGGUAAUC